AUGCACGCUGGCGGCGUGCCUAAUACCUGCCAGUCGCGCGAACAGACGAGGAGCUUGCUCCUCUGACGUUAGCGGCGGACGGGUGAGUAACACGUGGAUAACCUACCUAUAGGACUGGGAUAACUUCGGGAAACCGGAGCUAAUACCGGAUAAUAUAUUGAACCGCAUGGUUCAAUAGUGAAAGACGGUUUUGCUGUCACUUAUAGAUGGAUCCGCGCCGCAUUAGCUAGUUGGUAAGGUAACGGCUUACCAAGGCAACGAUGCGUAGCCGACCUGAGAGGGUGAUCGGCCACACUGGAACUGAGACACGGUCCAGACUCCUACGGGAGGCAGCAGUAGGGAAUCUUCCGCAAUGGGCGAAAGCCUGACGGAGCAACGCCGCGUGAGUGAUGAAGGUCUUCGGAUCGUAAAACUCUGUUAUUAGGGAAGAACAAAUGUGUAAGUAACUAUGCACGUCUUGACGGUACCUAAUCAGAAAGCCACGGCUAACUACGUG
RNAcentral lists this ribosomal RNA (496 nucleotides) under uncultured bacterium. Its description in RNAcentral is "partial 16S ribosomal RNA". It matches the Rfam family "Bacterial small subunit ribosomal RNA", at positions 29 to 507 of the family's 1533-position model. The record is from RNAcentral.